RNAcentral lists this transfer RNA (83 nucleotides) under Cubamyces sp. BRFM 1775. RNAcentral's name for it is "Leiotrametes sp. BRFM 1775 tRNA-Asp". Lineage: Eukaryota; Fungi; Basidiomycota; Agaricomycetes; Polyporales; Polyporaceae. The record is from RNAcentral.
UCUCUGUUAGUAUAUCGGUUAGUACACGCGCCUGUCAUCAAUUAUGGCCGCGCGAAAGCGGGGUUCGACUCCCCGACAGAGAG